AAAGACAGUAGAUUACAAAUUAAAAAUAUUACAAGUUAUUGUUGAUGAAGGUUGAUCUUUAAUUUCUUCCGAUCUUGAAGAUCUCUUCUCUUCUAAACACUUUGUAAGGUCGCUUCUUCUUUCUGUCUCCUUUCUUUCAUGAUAAAAAAAAAGUCCCCUUUCUCUAUGCCCUAAUUCAAACUAAAUAGCUUCCAAACAACUAAAAAC
This 207-nucleotide long non-coding RNA is filed under the name Lathyrus oleraceus (garden pea). RNAcentral describes it as "Pisum sativum (pea) long non-coding RNA (PSAT_LNC024804)". The record is from RNAcentral. Lineage: Eukaryota; Viridiplantae; Streptophyta; Magnoliopsida; Fabales; Fabaceae.